CGACGCCGCGUGAGGGAGGAAGGCCUUCGGGUUGUAAACCUCUUUUAACGAGGAAGAAACAAAUGACGGUACUCGUUGAAUAAGCCCCCGGCUAACUCCGUGC
RNAcentral lists this ribosomal RNA (103 nucleotides) under uncultured bacterium. RNAcentral's name for it is "partial 16S ribosomal RNA". It matches the Rfam family "Bacterial small subunit ribosomal RNA", at positions 392 to 508 of the family's 1533-position model. The record is from RNAcentral.